RNAcentral lists this ribosomal RNA (468 nucleotides) under uncultured bacterium. Its description in RNAcentral is "partial 16S ribosomal RNA". It matches the Rfam family "Bacterial small subunit ribosomal RNA", at positions 28 to 507 of the family's 1533-position model. The record is from RNAcentral.
GACGAACGCUGGCGGCGUGCUUAACACAUGCAAGUCGAACGGAAAGGCCCUGCUUUUGUGGGGUGCUCGAGUGGCGAACGGGUGAGCAACACGUGAGUAACCUGCCCUUGACUUUGGGAUAACUUCAGGAAACUGGGGCUAAUACCGGAUAGGAGCUCCUGCUGCAUGGUGGGGGUUGGAAAGUUUCGGCGGUUGGGGAUGGACUCGCGGCUUAUCAGCUUGUUGGUGGGGUAGUGGCUUACCAAGGCUUUGACGGGUAGCCGGCCUGAGAGGGUGACCGGCCACGUUGGGACUGAGAUACGGCCCAGACUCCUACGGGAGGCAGCAGUGGGGAAUAUUGCACAAUGGGCGGAAGCCUGAUGCAGCAACGCCGCGUGCGGGAUGACGGCCUUCGGGUUGUAAACCGCUUUCGCCUGUGACGAAGCGUGAGUGACGGUAAUGGGUAAAGAAGCACCGGCUAACUACGUG